CCCGUUAGGCCAAAGCUAUGUCGGCCGCCCGUCCCGCGCUCCGCAAACUGAGGAAAUGUGGAGGGUGGAGAAGGCGGUCCGGGCCCUUCUCCCACCCUGGGCCUCCAGGCCCUAAUUUUAUCGCGAGAGAGGGAAGUGAAUGACCCAAGGACUGGGCGCUGCCUCCUGAACACCAGGGCCCAACUCUGGACCGCUGACUCCUGUCCAACAGAUGUGAAGGCCACUAACUCCAGUGGGGGGCAGCACAGAAGCCAAACACAGCGAGUGGAGGAGAGCAAGAGUGUGCAGGCUCCAUGAUCUGAAGAAUGUCUUCUCUGCAUCUGCUUUAAAAUCACACACAGGGUUUCUCUCCAUUGUGACUGCUUUCAUGCAUUUGAAGACAACUGGGAUAAAUGAAUGCUUUCUCACAUUUCUGACAUUUAUAAGUGGUUUCUAUGUCCCCAGGGUUUGGGUUUUAUUCAGCUGUGGUCAGAUCACCAGAUCGGGAGCCCAUCGCCAGUGCAGAGCGCGUUUGUUGCUCACAGUUCCCGGGGUGGGGGUGGGGGGGAGGAGCGGGUCAUGCUGGCCCACAGGAGAGGACAGUGA
Long non-coding RNA from Globicephala melas (long-finned pilot whale), 585 nucleotides. RefSeq lists it as uncharacterized. Lineage: Eukaryota; Metazoa; Chordata; Mammalia; Artiodactyla; Delphinidae. The record is from RefSeq and is a predicted model, not a curated record.